AUUCAUAAAUAAAUAAAGUCUGGAGGAUUAAAUUAAACGUGCGGAUUACAUAGAGGGGCUGGAAGGGAAAUUUUCCCUUCUCCUCUAAAACGACAUCGUUCCAGUAGGGCUAAAUUGAAAUUGAAAAUAAAUUAAAGGGCAAAUUUAAAAGAUAAAAAAAUAAUUGAAAAUAUAUUAAAAGGCGGAGGGGCUUAAAGCGCAAUUUGCCCCUCCGCAUAAGAACACGCGGAUCCUGAAUCCGGGUCGGGUCGACGCGCGGAUCUUGCCCCCUUAAACGGCGUUGUUUCAAUUUUAUUAUAAAAGUAACAUUUUAAAACAAAAAAAUCACUUUCUGCCAUAUUUAUAAAAAAACAAAACUUAUGAACCCUAGCCUCCUCUGCUAGGGUUCCAACAGUCAACCGCCGCCGCCGUUACAAUGGAUGCAAAGCCCCUUCAACCCCGAUCUGAUCGGAGCAAAUGGGGUUUCUCGUCUCCUUCCCACAAGUGAAGAUCAUGGAGAUCCAGAGGACUCGUCUUGCGGCGCUGUUGAAGAUUAGAAACCCAAGGGUUUCAUUAUCUGUCUUGGGCCUCUGUAUUCGGGCCUUUAUUUGUUUUGGUUUGGGCCUUGUGGCCCAUUUGUAAUUCGGGAUUUUAAACCCGGGCAAAAUUGGGUAAUUACAAUUUUAUUACUCUUA
Gossypium raimondii (Peruvian cotton) is the source of this 674-nucleotide long non-coding RNA. RefSeq lists it as uncharacterized. The record is from RefSeq and is a predicted model, not a curated record. Lineage: Eukaryota; Viridiplantae; Streptophyta; Magnoliopsida; Malvales; Malvaceae. The transcript has 2 exons.